Molecule: long non-coding RNA, 664 nt
Organism: Cyprinus carpio (common carp)
Lineage: Eukaryota; Metazoa; Chordata; Actinopteri; Cypriniformes; Cyprinidae
Exons: 2
Source: RefSeq, a predicted model, not a curated record
UCCCUACUAUGUGCGUUUAUGUUUUGUGAAGUGCUGUUUAAACAUGCUUGUAUCUGUGACUAUUCAGUGGUGAAAAGACAAGCAGUCUCCCUAUCAUAUCCCUUCCCGGCUCGAGGCACCCCGCAGUAUUUGUCAUUGUACCACACACACAACAGCGGGGCACUUGACAUAAAUAAGUAGCCGGAUAAUUAGUCCUGUCUUCCUCACAUGCCUCAACAGGAUUAACCCCUUGCUUGCCAAACUGGGACUGGGGAGCAAAGGGUUAAACCUCAUCAAGGUAUGGGGCAAGAAGGGACUAAUUACCUGCGGUGUUGUUCGAUCGUGUCUCCAGCUGUGUUCAGCGCAUCUUGUGACAUAAGAUUUGCAAUGUAUGACGUAGUGUUUUGCACUCUUGUUCAUGACUGAAUUUUCCAGACAGAGCUCCGGAUGUUUCUAGGGCAAGGAUGGAUUUUGGAUGCGUGCAUUAGUUCAGUGUAAACCUUGCUGAGCUAGAAAUGUUUUACGUGCAUGAUUUACAUAUUGUUUUAUUCAUGCCUGGAGUUUGCUGUUGUUUCGACAUUAAAAGGUGCUUGUAAUAUGAAAACUUGGAGUAAACUUAAAGUUUGGAGUAUGUAAUACGAUUUUUUUUGUAUAUUUUUAAAAUAAAGAUUCUAAUUUUUAAAAA